Molecule: ribosomal RNA, 1432 nt
Filed under: Lactiplantibacillus argentoratensis
Lineage: Bacteria; Bacillati; Bacillota; Bacilli; Lactobacillales; Lactobacillaceae
Description: bacterial SSU rRNA
Rfam family: Bacterial small subunit ribosomal RNA
Source: RNAcentral
CUUGCAUCAUGAUUUACAUUUGAGUGAGUGGCGAACUGGUGAGUAACACGUGGGAAACCUGCCCAGAAGCGGGGGAUAACACCUGGAAACAGAUGCUAAUACCGCAUAACAACUUGGACCGCAUGGUCCGAGYUUGAAAGAUGGCUUCGGCUAUCACUUUUGGAUGGUCCCGCGGCGUAUUAGCUAGAUGGUGRGGUAACGGCUCACCAUGGCAAUGAUACGUAGCCGACCUGAGAGGGUAAUCGGCCACAUUGGGACUGAGACACGGCCCAAACUCCUACGGGAGGCAGCAGUAGGGAAUCUUCCACAAUGGACGAAAGUCUGAUGGAGCAACGCCGCGUGAGUGAAGAAGGGUUUCGGCUCGUAAAACUCUGUUGUUAAAGAAGAACAUAUCUGAGAGUAACUGUUCAGGUAUUGACGGUAUUUAACCAGAAAGCCACGGCUAACUACGUGCCAGCAGCCGCGGUAAUACGUAGGUGGCAAGCGUUGUCCGGAUUUAUUGGGCGUAAAGCGAGCGCAGGCGGUUUUUUAAGUCUGAUGUGAAAGCCUUCGGCUCAACCGAAGAAGUGCAUCGGAAACUGGGAAACUUGAGUGCAGAAGAGGACAGUGGAACUCCAUGUGUAGCGGUGAAAUGCGUAGAUAUAUGGAAGAACACCAGUGGCGAAGGCGGCUGUCUGGUCUGUAACUGACGCUGAGGCUCGAAAGUAUGGGUAGCAAACAGGAUUAGAUACCCUGGUAGUCCAUACCGUAAACGAUGAAUGCUAAGUGUUGGAGGGUUUCCGCCCUUCAGUGCUGCAGCUAACGCAUUAAGCAUUCCGCCUGGGGAGUACGGCCGCAAGGCUGAAACUCAAAGGAAUUGACGGGGGCCCGCACAAGCGGUGGAGCAUGUGGUUUAAUUCGAAGCUACGCGAAGAACCUUACCAGGUCUUGACAUACUAUGCAAAUCUAAGAGAUUAGACGUUCCCUUCGGGGACAUGGAUACAGGUGGUGCAUGGUUGUCGUCAGCUCGUGUCGUGAGAUGUUGGGUUAAGUCCCGCAACGAGCGCAACCCUUAUUAUCAGUUGCCAGCAUUAAGUUGGGCACUCUGGUGAGACUGCCGGUGACAAACCGGAGGAAGGUGGGGAUGACGUCAAAUCAUCAUGCCCCUUAUGACCUGGGCUACACACGUGCUACAAUGGAUGGUACAACGAGUUGCGAACUCGCGAGAGUAAGCUAAUCUCUUAAAGCCAUUCUCAGUUCGGAUUGUAGGCUGCAACUCGCCUACAUGAAGUCGGAAUCGCUAGUAAUCGCGGAUCAGCAUGCCGCGGUGAAUACGUUCCCGGGCCUUGUACACACCGCCCGUCACACCAUGAGAGUUUGUAACACCCAAAGUCGGUGGGGUAACCUUUUAGGAACCAGCCGCCUAAGGUGGGACAGAUGAUUAGGGUGAAGU